Molecule: ribosomal RNA, 326 nt
Filed under: uncultured eukaryote
Lineage: Eukaryota
Description: partial 18S ribosomal RNA
Rfam family: Eukaryotic small subunit ribosomal RNA
Source: RNAcentral
CCCUUAGAUGUUCUGGGCCGCACGCGCGUUACACUGAUGCAUUCAACGAGUUCUUCCUUGGCCGAGAGGCCUGGGCAAUCUUUUGAACGUGCAUCGUGAUAGGGAUAGAUUAUUGCAAUUAUUAAUCUUGAACGAGGAAUUCCUAGUAAACGCAGUUCAUCAAACUGCAUUGAUUACGUCCCUGCCCUUUGUACACACCGCCCGUCGCACCUACCGAUUGAAUGGUCCGGUGAAGCCUCGGGAUUGUGGUUCUUGCCGCUUUAUUGUGGCGUGACCGCGAGAACUUGUCUAAACCUUAUCAUCUAGAGGAAGGUGAAGUCGUAACA